UUAGCGACAGAAGAAGCACCGGCUAACUCCGUGCCAGCAGCCGCGGUAAUACGGAGGGUGCGAGCGUAAUCGGAAUUACUGGGCGUAAAGCGCAUGCAGGUGGUUUGUUAAGUCAGAUGUGAAAGCCCGGGGCUCAACCUCGGAAUAGCAUUUGAAACUGGCAGACUAGAGUACUGUAGAGGGGGGUAGAAUUUCAGGUGUAGCGGUGAAAUGCGUAGAGAUCUGAAGGAAUACCGGUGGCGAAGGCGGCCCCCUGGACAGAUACUGACACUCAGAUGCGAAAGCGUGGGGAGCAAACAGGAUUAGAUACCCUGGUAGUCCACGCCGUAAACGAUGUCUACUUGGAGGUUGUGGCCUUGAGCCGUGGCUUUCGGAGCUAACGCGUUAAGUAGACCGCCUGGGGAGUACGGUCGCAAGAUUAAAACUCAAAUGAAUUGACGGGGGCCCGCACAAGCGGUGGAGCAUGUGGUUUAAUUCGAUGCAACGCGAAGAACCUUACCUACUCUUGACAUCCAGAGAACUUUCCAGAGAUGGAUUGGUGCCUUCGGGAACUCUGAGACAGGUGCUGCAUGGCUGUCGUCAGCUCGUGUUGUGAAAUGUUGGGUUAAGUCCCGCAACGAGCGCAACCCUUAUCCUUGUUUGCCAGCACUUCGGGUGGGAACUCCAGGGAGACUGCCGGUGAUAAACCGGAGGAAGGUGGGGACGACGUCAAGUCAUCAUGGCCCUUACGAGUAGGGCUACACACGUGCUACAAUGGCGCAUACAGAGGGCGGCCAACUUGCGAGAGUGAGCGAAUCCCAAAAAGUGCGUCGUAGUCCGGAUCGGAGUCUGCAACUCGACUCCGUGAAGUCGGAAUCGCUAGUAAUCGUGGAUCAGAAUGCCACGGUGAAUACGUUCCCGGGCCUUGUACACACCGCCCGUCACACCAUGGGAGUGGGCUGCAAAAGAAGUAGGUAGUUU
Molecule: ribosomal RNA, 960 nt
Filed under: Vibrio harveyi
Lineage: Bacteria; Pseudomonadati; Pseudomonadota; Gammaproteobacteria; Vibrionales; Vibrionaceae
Description: bacterial SSU rRNA
Rfam family: Bacterial small subunit ribosomal RNA
Source: RNAcentral